RNAcentral lists this ribosomal RNA (513 nucleotides) under uncultured bacterium. RNAcentral describes it as "bacterial SSU rRNA". It matches the Rfam family "Bacterial small subunit ribosomal RNA", at positions 399 to 896 of the family's 1533-position model. The record is from RNAcentral.
GCGUGCGGGAGGAAGGUCUUCGGAUCGUAAACCGCGUGUCGGGAGGGAAGGAAGGCGACCGGGGGGGGAAAGUACCCUGGUUCUGACGGUACCUCCAAAGGAAGCACCGGCUAACUCCGUGCCAGCAGCCGCGGUAAUACGGAGGGUGCAAGCGUUGUUCGGAAUUAUUGGGCGUAAAGCGCGCGCAGGCGGCCGAAGAAGUCCAUGGGUGAAAGGCCGGGGGCUCAACCCCGUGCAUGCCCAGGAUACUGAUCGGCUGGAGACACGUAGAGGCAAGCGGAAUUCCGGGUGUAGCGGUGGAAUGCGUAGAGAUCCAGAAGAACACCGGAGGCGAAGGCGGCUUGCUGGGCGUGAUCUGACGCUGAGGCGCGAAAGCGUGGGGAGCGAACAGGAUUAGAUACCCUGGUAGUCCACGCUGUAAACGAUGGGCACUGGAUGCGGGGGGGAUCGGCCCUCUCCGUGUCGCAGCUUACGCGUUAAGUGCCCCGCCUGGGGAGUACGGCCGCAAGGCUG